GCCAGACUCCUACGGGAGGCAGCAGUGGGGGAUAUUGCACAAUGGGGGAAACCCUGAUGCAGCGACGCCGCGUGAGUGAAGAAGUAUUUCGGUAUGUAAAGCUCUAUCAGCAGGGAAGAAAAAAGACGGUACCUGACUAAGAAGCCCCGGCUAACUACGUGCCAGCAGCCGCGGUAAUACGUAGGGGGCAAGCGUUAUCCGGAUUUACUGGGUGUAAAGGGAGCGUAGACGGCAAUACAAGUCGGAAGUGAAAUACCCGGGCUCAACCUGGGAAUUGCUUUGGAAACUGUAUGGCUGGAGUGCUGGAGAGGUAAGCGGAAUUCCUAGUGUAGCGGUGAAAUGCGUAGAUAUUAGGAGGAACACCAGUGGCGAAGGCGGCUUACUGGACAGUAACUGACGUUGAGGCUCGAAAGCGUGGGGAGCAAACAGGAUUAGAUACCCCCGUA
This 446-nucleotide ribosomal RNA is filed under the name uncultured bacterium. RNAcentral describes it as "bacterial SSU rRNA". It matches the Rfam family "Bacterial small subunit ribosomal RNA", at positions 330 to 792 of the family's 1533-position model. The record is from RNAcentral.